Molecule: ribosomal RNA, 1080 nt
Filed under: uncultured bacterium
Lineage: Bacteria
Description: bacterial SSU rRNA
Rfam family: Bacterial small subunit ribosomal RNA
Source: RNAcentral
AAAGCUAUGGCCGGAUGCUUACCUGCAGUCGAACGGAAUCUUCGGAUUUAGUGGCGGACGGGUGAGUAACGCGUAAGAAUCUACCUACAGACUCGGGACAACAGUUAGAAAUGACUGCUAAUACCGGAUAUGCCUUCGGGUGAAAGAUUUAUCAUCUGUAGAUGAGCUUGCGUCCGAUUAGCCAGAUGGUGGGGUAACGGCCUACCAUGGCGACGAUCGGUAGCUGGUCUGAGAGGAUGACCAGUCACACUGGGACUGAGACACGGCCCAGACUCCUACGGGAGGCAGCAGUGGGGAAUUUCCCGCUGGGGUCGAAAGCCUGACGGAGCAAUACCGCGUGAGGGACGAAGGCCUGUGGGUUGUAAACCUCUUUUGUUAUGGAAGAUAAUGACGGUACCUAACGAAUAAGCAUCGGCUAACUCCGUGCCAGCAGCCACGGUAAGACGGAGGAUGCAAGCGUUAUCCGGAAUUAUUGGGCGUAAAGCGUACGUAGGCUGUUUCAUAAGUCUGUUGUCAAAGCCCGAGGCUCAACCUUGGAUCGGCAAUGGAAACUGUGAGACUAGAGAGAGAUAGGGGCAGGAGGAAUUCCAGGUGUAGCGGUGAAAUGCGUAGAUAUCUGGAAGAACACCAGUGGCGAAAGCGUCCUGCUGGAUCUCAACUGACGCUGAAGUACGAAAGCUAGGGGAGCGAAUGGGAUUAGAUACCCCAGUAGUCCUAGCCGUAAACGAUGGGUACUAGGUGUUGGUCGUAUCGACCCGAUCAGUGCCGUAGCUAACGCGUUAAGUACCCCGCCUGGGGAGUACGGUCGCAAGAUUGAAACUCAAAGGAAUUGACGGGGGCCCGCACAAGCGGUGGAGUAUGUGGUUUAAUUCGAUGCAACGCGAAGAACCUUACCCAAGGCUUGACAUGUCGUGAAUCCUCUUGAAAGGGAGGAGUGCCUUCGGAGCACGAACACAGGUGGUGCAUGGCUGUCCGUCAGCUCGUGUCGUGAGAUGUUGGUUAAGUCCCGGCAGCGAGCGCAACCCUCGUUUUAAGUGCCAUCAUUAAGUUGGGCACUCUAAAAAGAACUGCCGGUGACAA